CGUAGACAGGUGCUGCAUGGCUGUCGUCAGCUCGUGUCGUGAGAUGUUCGGGUUAAGUCCCGCAACGAGCGCAACCCUUGCCUUUAGUUGCCAGCAGUUCGGCUGGGCACUCUAAAGGGACUGCCGGUGUUAAACCGGAGGAAGGUGGGGAUGACGUCAAGUCCUCAUGGCCUUUAUGACCAGGGCUACACACGUACUACAAUGGCCGAUACAAAGGGCAGCGACACUGCGAGGUGAAGCCAAUCCCGUAAAAUCGGUCUCAGUCCGGAUUGGAGUCUGCAACUCGACUCCAUGAAGUUGGAAUCGCUAGUAAUCGUGGAUCAGCAUGCCACGGUGAAUACGUUCCCGGGCCUU
This 354-nucleotide ribosomal RNA is filed under the name uncultured Desulfobulbus sp. Its description in RNAcentral is "bacterial SSU rRNA". It matches the Rfam family "Bacterial small subunit ribosomal RNA", at positions 1029 to 1382 of the family's 1533-position model. The record is from RNAcentral. Lineage: Bacteria; Pseudomonadati; Thermodesulfobacteriota; Desulfobulbia; Desulfobulbales; Desulfobulbaceae.